Molecule: ribosomal RNA, 728 nt
Filed under: uncultured bacterium
Lineage: Bacteria
Description: bacterial SSU rRNA
Rfam family: Bacterial small subunit ribosomal RNA
Source: RNAcentral
AAGCAUGAGGGGCAAACAGGAUUAGAUACCCUGGUAGUCCAUGCCGUAAACGAUGUCGAUUUGAAGAUUGUAGUCUGUUUAAGUUAUGGCUUUCGAAACUAACGCGUUAAAUCGACCACCUGGGGAGUACGACCGCAAGGUUAAAACUCAAAUGAAUUGACGGCGGUCCGCACAAGCGAUGGAGCAUGUGGUUUAAUUCGAUGCAACACGAAGAACCUUACCUACUCUUGACAUCCAAAGAACCGUGUAGAGAUACACGAGUGCCUUAGGGAACUUUGAGACAGGUGUUGCAUGGCUGUCGUCAGCUCGUGUUGUCAAAUGUUGGGUUAAGUCCCGCAACGAGCGCAACCCUUGUCCUUUGUUGUCAACGAGUUAAAUCGGGAACUCAAAGGAGACUGCCGGUGAUAAACCGGAGGAAGGUGAGGAUGACGUCAUGUCAUCAUGGCCCUUAUGAGUAGGGCUACAAACGUGCUACAAUGGCGUAUACAAAGAGAAGCAACCUCGCGAGAGUCAGCAAAUCUCUAAAGUGCGUCUUAGUCCGGAUUGGAGUCUGCAACUCGACUCUAUGAAGUCGGAAUCGCUAGUAAUCGUGGAUCAGAAUGUCACGGUGAAUACGUUCCCGGGCCUUAUACACACCGCCCGUCACACCAUGGAAGUGGGUUGCAAAAGAAGUGGGUUGCUUAAGCUUAGGGAGGGCGCUUACCACUUUGUGAUUCAUGACUGGGGUG